GGCGGAAAAGAAACCAACAGGGAUUGCCUCAGUAACGGCGAGUGAAGCGGCAACAGCUCAAAUUUGAAAUCUGGAGCCUUUGGCUUCCGAGUUGUAAUUUGAAGAGGAUGUUUCGGUUGUGGCCUGGGCCUAAGUUCCUUGGAACAGGACGUCAUGGAGGGUGAGAAUCCCGUACAUGGCUGCAGGCUUACUUCCAUGUGAAACUCCUUCGAAGAGUCGAGUUGUUUGGGAAUGCAGCUCAAAAUGGGUGGUAAAUUUCAUCUAAAGCUAAAUAUUGGCGGGAGACCGAUAGCGCACAAGUAGAGUGAUCGAAAGAUGAAAAGCACUUUGAAAAGAGAGUUAAACAGCACGUGAAAUUGUUGAAAGGGAAGCGCUUGCGAUCAGACUCGCUCUCGGUUGAUCAACGUUCCUUCUGGUGCGUGCACUCUGCCGUUGGCGGGCCAGCAUCGGUUGGGGCGGCGGGACAAAGGCGGCGGGAAUGUGGCUCCUCUCGGGGAGUGUUAUAGCCCGCUGUGUAAUGCCGCCAGCCCCGACCGAGGUCCGCGGUUCUGCCUAGGAUGCUGGCUUAAUGGUCGUAAGCGACCCGUCUUGAAACACGGACCAAGGAGUCUAACAUCUAUGCGAUCUUUUGGGUGUCAAACCCAUGGGCGGAAUGAAAGUGAACGGAGGUGGGAGUCCUCGGAUGCACCAUCGACCGAUCCCUAUGUUCUCGGAUGGAUUUGAGUAUGAGCAUAGCUGUUGGGACCCGAAAGAUGGUGAACUAUGCCUGAAUAGGGUGAAGCCAGAGGAAACUCUGGUGGAGGCUCGCAGCGGUUCUGACGUGCAAAUCGAUCGUCAAAUUUGGGUAUAGGGGCGAAAGACUGGUCGAGCCAUCUAGUAGCUGGUUCCUGCC
Molecule: ribosomal RNA, 892 nt
Filed under: Dactylellina cionopaga
Lineage: Eukaryota; Fungi; Ascomycota; Orbiliomycetes; Orbiliales; Orbiliaceae
Description: LSU rRNA
Rfam family: Eukaryotic large subunit ribosomal RNA
Source: RNAcentral